RNAcentral lists this ribosomal RNA (254 nucleotides) under uncultured bacterium. RNAcentral describes it as "partial 16S ribosomal RNA". It matches the Rfam family "Bacterial small subunit ribosomal RNA", at positions 524 to 776 of the family's 1533-position model. The record is from RNAcentral.
UACGUAGGGUGCGAGCGUUUGUCCGGAAUUACUGGGCGUAAAGAGCUCGUAGGUGGUUUGUCGCGUUGUUCGUGAAAACCGGGGGCUUAACCCUCGGCGUGCGGGCGAUACGGGCAGACUUGAGUACUGCAGGGGAGACUGGAAUUCCUGGUGUAGCGGUGGAAUGCGCAGAUAUCAGGAGGAACACCGAUGGCGAAGGCAGGUCUCUGGGCCGAUACUGACGCUGAGGAGCGAAAGCGUGGGGAGCGAACAGG